This 252-nucleotide ribosomal RNA is filed under the name Clostridium sporogenes. RNAcentral describes it as "partial 23S ribosomal RNA". It matches the Rfam family "Bacterial large subunit ribosomal RNA", at positions 2676 to 2925 of the family's 2925-position model. The record is from RNAcentral. Lineage: Bacteria; Bacillati; Bacillota; Clostridia; Eubacteriales; Clostridiaceae.
CCUUAGUACGAGAGGACCGGGAUGGACCAACCUCUGGUGCACCAGUUGUCACGCCAGUGGCACAGCUGGGUAGCUAUGUUGGGACUGGAUAAACGCUGAAAGCAUCUAAGCGUGAAGCCAACCUCAAGAUGAGAUUUCCCAUAGCGUAAGCUAGUAAGACUCCUGGAAGAACACCAGGUUGAUAGGUCAGAGAUGUAAGCAUGGCAACAUGUUAAGUUGACUGAUACUAAUAAGUCGAGGGCUUGACCAAAA